Xyrichtys novacula (pearly razorfish) is the source of this 509-nucleotide non-coding RNA. The record is from the annotation of a GenBank genome assembly. NCBI's taxonomy places the organism in Eukaryota, Metazoa, Chordata, Actinopteri, Labriformes, Labridae.
GGGGGGGGGGGGGGUUGUGUGCACAGAAGGAGCAUGGGCUCAGACUAUUCUCGGAAUGAUAUUGUGACAAGUCUGUCCGAAGGUAAGUGGCUGGUUAGGUGUGGGAAAGAGAUAGAGUGAUAGCCCCCGCUUUCGUCAGUUGACUUGGCGGUUUGAGGUAGGCUGAUCAAGGACUUGCACUGGCCGGCGCAUGUCGACCUGUCACAUGUUCCAGUCGAGUCUCCGAGCUCAAUCUGUGUGUAAAAAUUAUGUGUUGGUAGAAAGUUUAAUGACUCAGCUCAGUUGGUAUGCUAUGCUGUCUAUCUUUUAGACUAUGUGUUUGUUGAGCAAUUUUAUGUAUAUAUUAUGUUACAGGGCUAGGAAAAGGUUAAAGGUUUUUGGACGUUAGGGUUAAAAUCACUGUCCAAAACCUUUGUAGGAACUCUUUUCCAACCUUUUGGAGGGAGCUAGACCAGAAAAAAAAGAAGAAAGAAAAAAAAAAAUUGGGGUGUUCGGGCUUCCUGAAGGUA